This 455-nucleotide ribosomal RNA is filed under the name uncultured bacterium. Its description in RNAcentral is "bacterial SSU rRNA". It matches the Rfam family "Bacterial small subunit ribosomal RNA", at positions 923 to 1379 of the family's 1533-position model. The record is from RNAcentral.
GCACAAGCGGUGGAGCAUGUGGUUUAAUUCGACGCAACGCGAAGAACCUUACCAGGGUUUGACAUCCUGAGACCGCCUCUUAAUAGGGGUUUUCCCGCAAGGGACUCAGAGACAGGUGCUGCAUGGCUGUCGUCAGCUCGUGUCGUGAGAUGUUGGGUUAAGUCCCGCAACGAGCGCAACCCUCGCCUUUAGUUGCCAUCAUUCAGUUGGGCACUCUAGAGGGACCGCCGGCGACAAGCCGGAGGAAGGUGGGGAUGACGUCAAGUCCUCAUGGCCCUUACACCCUGGGCUACACACGUGCUACAAUGGCGGUGACAGUGGGCAGCUAACUCGCGAGAGCAAGCUAAUCCCAAAAACUCUCUCUCAGUUCGGAUUGGAGUCUGCAACUCGAGCACAUGAAGUUGGAAUCGCUAGUAAUCGCAGAUCAGCACGCUGCGGUGAAUACGUUCCCGGGC